Long non-coding RNA from Esox lucius (northern pike), 404 nucleotides. The record is from Ensembl. NCBI's taxonomy places the organism in Eukaryota, Metazoa, Chordata, Actinopteri, Esociformes, Esocidae.
GGUGUCAGGGUCUGUGUACCUAUAGUUAAGGUAGAGGUUGUCAGGGUCUUUGUAUCUAUAGUUAAGGUAGAGGUUGUCAGGGUCUGUGUACCUAUAGUUAAGGUAAAGGUUGUCAGGGUCUGUGUACCUAUAGUUAAGGUAAAGGUUGUCAGGGUCUAUGUACCUAUGGUUAAGGUAGAGGUUGUCAGGGUCUGUGUACCUAUAGUUAAGGUAAAGGUUGUCAGGGUCUGUGUACCUAUAGUUAAGGUAAAGGUUGUCAGGGUGUGUGUAGCUAUAGUUAAGGUAGAGGUUGUCAGGGUCUGUGUAGCUAUAGUUAAGGUAGAGGUUGUCAGGGUCUGUGUACCUAUAGUUAAGGUAGAGGUUGUCAGGGUCUGUGUACCUAUAGUUAAGGUAGAGGUUGUCAG